Long non-coding RNA from Cylas formicarius (sweet potato weevil), 6092 nucleotides. RefSeq lists it as uncharacterized. NCBI's taxonomy places the organism in Eukaryota, Metazoa, Arthropoda, Insecta, Coleoptera, Brentidae. The transcript has 6 exons. The record is from RefSeq and is a predicted model, not a curated record.
CGUACCGUCCACUAGGUUGGCACGAGUAGCGUUUUCCCUCUAAUUUUUUGUGCCCGUUUUGCCUUUUAAUAAAACUGGUUGUCUGAAUCGUCCGGCAUUUUGUACGCUAGCUUUUGAAGCUUGGGGUUGUGGCAGGUUUUCUUUUGUGUGACCGAUUUCUUUUUGAGCCGGUAGUGCUACCCCAAUAAGAGGGGGAUAUGUAAAUUGGUCACUAAUUUAUGAUUUCCCAUACUUUUGGAUCUAUUUGGAGUUUGGGAUGGGAAUCUUCCUCAACGAGGGAUUUUGAAAAGAAUUGUCAUUGCCCCACAUUUCCAGAAAACCCUCUAAUCGAGGUUUUUUUUUUUUAAUUAGUAUUGUACGUAUUGUUGCUCCGUUUCCCGCAAACCUUAGACUUGGUGUCUUGCAGUGUAUCCUGUCUCUUGGGUACAUGUUUAGUUGCGGAGUUUCCCCUAUCGAGCAGCAGGCUUUCCGGAUGGACUUUGCUGGUUUAACUGGGACUGCCCACCUGCGGCUGCCCCAUUGAGCCACCAUUCCAUCUUGGCUUGGUUCCCGGGAUAGUGACAGAGCUGUGUAACGUUCGGGACAUCUUGAGGUUUGGGUAGCUUAAGUGGCCUGUUCUCUUUAAGAACGGUUUGCGGAACUUAUAGCCUUAAAUUAUAGUGUCUUACAUUCUUUUGCACCGCCAAAACUUGAAGGUGAGAUUUGACACUCACACCUACCACCAGGUUGAAGGAAAUAAAUUAUUGUUCGUGAUUCACUUGUUUAUUUCCUUUACGGGUUGGAACCUCGGGUUGAUAAGUCUACCCUUUUCGAAUCACGUGGCGCCUACCUACCACCUUCCGGAUCUCACCGAGGUGCCGUUCACCGCCUUCCAACUUGGCUUUGGUUUAGUAUUUUUUUUUCUACUUUAUUAAUUUUUUUUUUCUCGGUUGUUAAUGAGUUAGCCUAGGCAUUGUCUUACCUCACUACUAAAUUACGAAUUUAAUUAAUUAAUGCGUUUCUUUUUCACGACCCUGAGAUGGAGAGGUAAGAGACCAACUUAUUUAUCCUAAAAACAAAGGUAGAAAUAAAGGGAUAUGGGAAAUUUAAUUCAAUUUCAAAAGAAAUUUCUUACUUUUUAGUAUUUUCUUCUGGUGCUUUUCUUUUAUAAAUUUUGAUACAUUUGGUAUCCACUAAAAUAAGACUUUAACUAUAAUAGCAGUAAUCGGCACACUAUAUAAAAAAACAUGUAAUUUUCAUCAGAUACUUUUCCAAUAAUAUAAAUAACUUCGAAAAUGUGGCAGUCUAAUUGUCAAAGUAAAUUUCCUUCUCUUGCCAAAUUGCUUUUUUUUAAAAUGUUGUUGCAAUUUCUUCUGUAUCUUACAGAUGUACACUAAGUGUGCUGAAGGUGAACAGGUUUUUUCAAUUAAAUUAUUUUACUAGACCUGUGCUUACAGAGAUUAGGAGUAGUGUUGUUGCCACACUUGCUCUUUUCCACUAUCCUUGCGCCUACACCGGGAUCGCAAGGAUGGUGUCAUCGCGUGGCCAGUGUUGUGUGACCCGUUCAUUUUACGACGACCGAAUCAAUCGGUGAUCGAUUACGAAAAGGACGAAUCUUUCUGUUUGAGCUAUAAUAAUAGUUAGCUGUCUUCUGCUUUUUACUGCAUCAUCAUUUUAUCAAUAUAAUUGGGACGUAUUGGGUUGGACGAGUAAUACAUUAAUUUCUGUAAAUUAAAUACCUGACUGAAAAUAGAUAGUUCAUUCAAUAUUCAAUUCAACACAUAAGUAAAUCCACCAAGGAUAUCGCAACUCAAUAAUAUACAAAUAUUAUAACAAUACUCAAAUUCCUUUUCUAUAGUCUGUUUCUGUCAUUCAUUUCAAUCUGUAACAAUUCAAAAGAACCGUAUUCCGCAAGACGAAUUGACACAACUCUAGGCACGCCUUAAAUUAACCAUGGAAAGAAAAAUAAUACCUAUGUUUGGUCACUGUAUAAAAAAGAGUUUUUAAUUGCAAGAAAUCGGGCAGCAGACCAAGUCUGUAUCAAAAGCGUCUAGUCUCUGCUGAGACGUAAUUGAUAAACAGAAUGUUUAGGUUAGAGCCAGCAAUUUGUAUAGAGAUAUCAAAUUUAAUAGUUUAAAUGUUUAAAAGCCGGAAUGCAAUUAAUUUUAGAAGGUAAAUUCAUAGGGUGGUGAGGUAUCAAAACUCCUCAACGAAUAGUUUUCCACGAGGUAAAAUUGAUUUAAUAUUUUAUAAUAGCUCAAAAGAGGCAUUUUGCAAGUUUAUCGCAAAAAAUGUCGCAUUUUAUAUUAUUAUCCUUUGUAGGUUGUAGAUUAAUAAAUAUAUGUAAAUUUCAGUUAUUGGAAAAUAAUAUCUUAAAUGUACAGAAACAAAAUGUUAAGCAUCAGGAAGGGACAACACAAUCAUAAACACUUGGAGGACCAACCACAAGGCGGAAAUAUUAAGAGUUGCCAGCAUGUCUGAGAGAGAAAGGAACUUGAGGGAAUUUAUAGAAUAGAUCUGCUUCAAGGAGUAAGAAUGGGAUAAUUCUAUCGGAGGAAUGGAAUCACAUAUGGCACUGACGUCGUGACUCCCAGAUACCUACAAGAUGGCACACAACACUUGUGGCGCAUACUUCAACGACUGAACAACACUAACCAUAGACAACUUGAAUUUCUAGCACAAAAGGAGUAAGAAUAGGAUAAUUCUAUCUCAGGAUUGGAAUCGCAUAUGGCACUGACGUCGUGACUCCCAGAUAUCUACAAGAUGGCACACAACAACUGUGGCGCAUACCUUCAUAACUGAACACAAAAGGAGUAAGAAUGGGAUAAUUCUAUCGUAGGAUUGGAAUCACAUAUGGCACUGACGUCGUGCCUCCCAUAUACCUACAAGAUGGCACACAACUGUGGCGCAUACCUCAACAACUUAACAACACUAACCAUAGACAACUUGAAUUUCUAACACAAAAGUUCCGGUUCAAUUGGAUUUGGUGCCACCUUACAUCGUGGACGGCACGUGUUAUGAAUUCUGCAACCCAAAAAUUCAUCAAGUCUUCAAGUUAGCUCGGUUCAGGACGUUGCAGUGCAUAUCUCCUCGUCCAAGAGUGAUAAGCAUUCGUGCCUAUCCCACUGACUGGUGAACCCGUAGGCUGUAUACAGAACAGCCAUCUUAGAGCUUGCCCGACUCGUUCGUUGCUGGUAACUGGAGGAUCACAGAUAAGCCUCUAUUUAUGUUCCGGUUAAUUUUAUGCCUAUUAAAUACAAAUUUCAAUUUUUAAAUAUCAAUAUAAAUUAAAGAGCUCAGUUAGGGUAAAGAUAAAGCACACAAUUAUAGAAACAUUUUUUUUGUAAGAAUUAUUUGUAAACGAUCGAUCGUAACCAAGCUUCCUGUGAUUAAUGUGUACUUGAGCCAAUAUAUGGAGAUUUAAACUGACGUGCCGGUCUUAUUUAUUAAUUAUUUAUUUGGUUUUUGGUUAUUUGGGUUCGAACUUUGUUAACUUUGUGAGUUUCUUUGGUGGCUAGUGAGCAAGGACACUAGUCACUAUCACUAACUUAUAGUAUAGGUUGAGGUUUUGUCCUAGCUGGCGCCCCGGUUUCCAACCUUUGAUUUACUUUCUUUUUUUAUACCCCGCCCAUGUUUUGAGAAACUGAGCUGCUUGGGCCCUAUACUUACUGCUUCCAAUCGGUAGCAAAGUGAGCAAAGUAAAGUAGGAUUGCUUCGGUCUCCCCUCCACUUUCAGUGGAAAAGAGACGUGGCAAUUUUUCUGGCGCCCAACGUGUAAUUUUUUUUUUUAACGCCCAACGUGUAUUUUUUUUUUAACGCCCAAUGUGUACAUUUUCUGGGAAUUUUUUAGCACCCAACGUGUAAAUUUUAUUAUUUUGUAGGUUCGUUGUUUUUAUAGCUUUUCAAAUAUUUCUGGCAAUUUUUUAUAGUUUAUUGAGUUUUGAAUUAAUGGGCCGUCAGUUUGGAUUUGUAUAUUGGUUCGAACUGCAAAAAAUACUUGGCUAUAUUUUUGAAUUUGAAUUUUGAAUCAAUGCGGGGUCACUCACAUAUUUUUGCCAGCGAGUAAUUUUGAAUAUUAGUUAUUGAAGAUUUUGGGUACUUAGCACUAAUUAUUUAAUUUGUUUUUUUUUCAUUGCUCUCUAUUGGUGGGCCAAUUUUUAGAGCGUGUAGAAGAACUUCGCCAUGCCCGUAAUGUCUCAGAGGCCGAUCUUUUCGCUUCCUCUUUAGAUCUUUUUCAGGGAAAAGCACUACUUUGGAAUAGGUCUGUUAUUAAAAGGUGUCAAAAUUGGAGAGAACUUCGUCAACUUUGUAUUUCGCAUUAUUUAGCACCAGAUUAUAAAUCUCGUUUAUUUGGGGAAAUUUUAUCCCGUACACAAGGUCCCAACGAAACAAUCGUGGAUUAUCUCGCUUGCAUGAGUACUAUGUUUAGCUGUUAUGGCAAUGUUCCCGAAGAAACUCAGGUCGAUAUCAUUUUAAGGAAUUUGGCUCCAUUCUACGUUAUGCAACUCCCAAUUGUAAGCUCUCUUAAUGAACUUGAGGCUGAAUGGCUAAAACUUGAGGUUAAAAAGUUCCGUGCGGAUCACUAUAGACCUCCCACUCGUAGGUCAAACCAAAGUUAUGUGGAACCCGAACUUGCAUAUUUGUCAGCAUCCACUCAGGAGUUGUCUUUAAAUAUAUCCAUUGCAAGCAUUGUUUUCGCUGUAAAAGAUCAAAUGUCACCGUUCGCACGUGCCCGGAAUGUUCACCUCGUGCGGGAAACGAUCACAGGAGGAACUAAUCGGUCGAAAUAGUACCUCCAGCUCUUUGCCUUGUUCGACCAAUCAUGUUUUUCCUCAUAAAGCAUUACUCGAUUAUGUCAUAUCUCAUGCUGAUAAAGAUCAACGCCCUUAUCUUGAAAUCACCAUAUUAGGGAAAACUAUUUUAGGAAUGCUUGAUUCCGGUGCUAACGUUACCGUUGUUGGUCAAUCUGGUUGGGAAUUUAGACUUAGGACUCAAGAUUACCUCGCCACCUGUCUCCGUUCAUGUUGCCAAUGGACAGUCUUGUAAAAGUUUAGGUCGAGUACCAGGGCAUAUGUGCUUGCUAGAUAAACUUUGCGUUGUCGACGUUUUGGUUGUGCCAAGCCUUCCCCAUCCUUUGAUCUUAGGUACUGAUUUCUGGACGAAAAUGGGUAUCGUCCCUGACUUGCGCCGUAAUGAGUGACAUUUCUCAAAUGAGCCUUAUGUUUGUCAAAUGAAUACUGUCUGUGACGUAGUAGAUCUGUCUGUAGAACAACGUAAUUCUCUUAACAUCUUGCUUGAUGAGAAGUUCUCAAAAAUGGGAACCACUUUAGGUCUUACUAAUGUGGUUGAGCACGAGAUUAUUGUUGAAGGUCCGCCUAUUAAAGAACGAAAGAACUGACAAAAAUGCUAGAACCUGAUGUUAUUGAACCAUCGAAAAGCGCUUGGUCUUCCCCGAUAUUAAUGGUACCAAAAAAAGAUGGAACUCAUCGUUUUUGUGUUGACUUCAGGCGUUUGAACGCCGUUACAAAAAAGGAUGCAUAUCCUAUUCCUUGUCUCCUCUAUACUUGAUAGCCUCGGUGGUGCAAAGUACUUAAGUCAAUUAAGGAAAGCAGUCGAGAAUAUUGUGCUUUCACGGUCCUCGGUCGUGGACUUUUUCAUUUUAAAAGAAUGCCAUUCGGAUUAACUAAUGCCCCGGCAACCUUCCAAAGGUUGAUGGAAAAAGUGUUAGAGUUGACCUUCAACCCAAUGUUUUCGUCUAUUUGGAUGAUAUAAUUAUUAUCUCUUCAGAUUUUGAGUCGUAUUUGAGUAUUAUUGGUAAGGUUUUUGAUCGUCUUCUAGAAUCUGGUCUUACAGUCUCGCGAAAAAUGUCAGUUUUGUAGACCGCAUCUUAAAUAUUUAGGUUAUAUUGUAGAUACAAAUUUCAAUUUUUAAAUAUCAAUAUAAAUUAAAGAGCUCAGUUAGGGUAAAGAUAAAGCACACAAUUAUAGAAACAUUUUUUUUGUAAGAAUUAUUUGUAAACGAUCGAUCGUAACCAAGCUUCCUGUGAUUAGUGUGUACUUGAGCCAAUAUAUGGAGAUUUAAACUGACGUGCCGGUCUUAUUUAUUAAUUAUUU